AUGGAGGGAGAUGGCUUGGCCAGGCCGUCAACACCCAUCGGCAACUUCCGGCAGGCGCCGUCCCGUUCUUCCUCCCCUUACUCUGAUGCCUUCAUGGCCAAAAUCAUUAGCAGGAGCAAGAAGGUUAAGCGCCAAUUAUGGUUAAAGCUUUGUCUCUUUUGUGUACUAUGCAUGAUUGAUCUGAUUUUGCUGGCCAGCUUACAAAUUCAAGUAAUAUGGCUAUUGCAAUGCAUCUUACUACGUGUGUAUUUAUUUGCAUUGAUAUUUUCUCCUUCUUGGGCUCCAAAUCGUUUGUGGGUCAUAAGUUAUUGUGCAUUAUUGAUGAUUAAUUUGCAAUUUAAAUGA
Molecule: ribosomal RNA, 345 nt
Filed under: Triticum aestivum (bread wheat)
Lineage: Eukaryota; Viridiplantae; Streptophyta; Magnoliopsida; Poales; Poaceae
Description: partial small subunit ribosomal RNA
Source: RNAcentral